RNAcentral lists this ribosomal RNA (5943 nucleotides) under Triticum aestivum (bread wheat). RNAcentral describes it as "partial small subunit ribosomal RNA". Lineage: Eukaryota; Viridiplantae; Streptophyta; Magnoliopsida; Poales; Poaceae. The record is from RNAcentral.
UGUGUCCUCCUUCUUGCUCACUGUUCAGAUCCCAUCCCAGUUGGGUCUAGAAAUGAACAGUGGAUAGUCAAGAAGAAAGGUAUGCUCUGGUGGGCAGUCUCCCAAGUCGGGAGACAGGGACAAGGGGGUUGGAGCCGGGCUUCGUCGCCGGACCUAGUCCGAAGUCUGGAGUCCCGAUGUGUAGUGCGGCAGGCGAGGCAGAGAGAGGGGUUUGCGCCGCCGUGGUCCGACGACGAGCCGACGAGGGUGUGAGGAAGAUUUGGGAGUGAGGGGUUGCAAGGGGAGGGCCGGCCCCAGCCUGUCGGCGCGGCGAGCGGCCGCUGCGCAGCCUCUACCUGCCCCCGGUGCCCGUCUCCGUCGGCGACAGCGGCCGCUAGGGCCGGAGCCGCCACGACGGCGUGGUCGCCGUCUACGUCGAGGAGGUCGUGGGCCGCGCGGGCCGUUAGCGGCUAGAGAAGUGGGACAUGGAGCCGCACUUGAGCUUCGUCGCUCUGCUCCUGGGCCGCUCCCUCUGGAGCUUGUUCGAAGUCUUCUCUCAUAGACGAGUAUUGUCUCUAGACGGAGGGGCGCUGCUCGUCAAGUAAAGUCUAAAACUCGUCAACACGCACGGCAAAGUCCUGGUCCUCGUCAACGUCCGACAGUGCCUUAGUCAAGAGUAGAGUAAACAAGACGUUACGUCAUCAGUGCGAGGUGUUAGAGUCAAGGACGAGAAACGAUGCGCCACGGAGACGCGAGCACCGGUGGAGUCUACCCUGUCAGAGUAAGGUAGAGAUGAAUCACAUCAAAGGAGGCGGCUCCGUGGUUACCCGGUUCCCCCAAGACACUGACAACCACCGGGACACAGAAGAAGUAGUCGAUAACGUCACGGUUUACGAGGUUCGAAAGUGCGAAGUUUAGGAUGCAGAGGGAACAGUCGUUACUUGUGAUAUCCUAGAGGAUGAGUUAGACCAUAACUAGUUGGACAUCCCCGUUUACACAGUGGGUACUUCCGCCGACUCAAAAGAUGAGAACCCGUCGGACCAUGUUGUAGUUCUCCACUGGUCAGGGCGUCUCCUCGUGUUCAAUCGAUGGACGUAGUAAAUAGGACAUCCUAAUAAAAUCGACCAGACCUCAGGUUAAACUUCGGUCGAUGAGUACGACACUAUAAGGUAGUAUACCAUUUAACCGAUCAGUUAACCCUGGUCUCUGGGGUACCGCACCUACUUCGACUAUGUCACGUUUGAAGAUCCUAGCCUUCCGGGCACGUACUUACCUACGUAGAUACGAAUCUGCACUAAACCUAAAAUCAACUACUUCUCUUUACAGCGUAAGGUAAGAUACUCGAACAAGCGUCGUUGAACGUCAAAGACCUCUUGUAAGGACUACUACUACGUCACUAAACGUAAUAAUACCUCUAGGUAUCCUCCUCCCUGUACCACACGUACGUGUACGUUUACAACCUGGUUGUGGAAGUGACGGGUUGUAAACCUUGAGUAGCCAAGAACAGUGUUAGGAUAGGUUCGUAUCGACCACUUAGACAACGAUUAAACGCAAUAAGAGGAUAAUGAAUAGGAUCACAAGACCCACUCGGUGACGUACCUCUCCUAGAACGUUUGAGAUAAGGUUUCCCCCCAAAUCUGACCCUUGCACGAGACGCAACGAACUCCGUACGAGAGGCGUGUUGAGGUAGUGGUCUAACCACCUCUGCACAAGAAGAACAACGAGGAACAAUGUCUAGUGUAAGAGUUUGUAGUUGUGGUCCUCGACAAAAGAGUGGUCUAUACUAACCACUCCGUCAACGACUGUCCUGUUAACUUGAUGACUUCAAUUGAUUGAGUCUUUGAGUCACGACCGUUCUAACCGAAAACAAACGUCUAUAGAAAAAGAAGGAUUACUUUUCACCGGCAUAACUAAAAGAGCUAAAACACCUGUUCGAACGUAGAGCUCAUUGUUUACCACUAGUUGUCUAAGAUGCGUCAUUAGUACAGUGUACCAACGAACGUGUCUAAUAGGCAUAACUCUAACACUACUUGUGUGAAUCAAGCCUGGGUUCCUUCCAACUUUGCUGUGCGUUCUAUUAAAGUAAGGUGUUUCUUCUGUUUUCGGAACUAGGAUUAUUGUAGUCGGGAGUUUCAUAAGAAGAACUAAAGUAUUCAUCGUCGGUCUGAAACGCGUAAACCAGAAAGUUGUGAAGUUAAUCUCUCGUAAACUUGUCGCUAGUCGAAGUUUUUCCGUUUGUCUAUCUACUCACCACCUUUGUCUACUGUUUUCGAAGUCCUCUCUCUUACUAUCUAAAAUACUUGAACCUACUCGCUCGUUACCCGUACAAAACCCAAGAGAGCAAGUGGUACCGUGUUGGUCGUACACUACGUCAGUACUGGACCAAAUGUAGUCGACCUCCCCGUCUUAAGUACGUCCCUGGGUUAUACGUUGGUUUACUUUCUCACUGCUACUACGUACUUUGAAUGGGAAACAGUUACCACAACGAAAGACCCAACAGAUAGUUGAACACAAACUUCGAACGAAUGGUCGAACUUCUCUGAUAUAAAGAACCGGUCCGACAAGGAUCGUAACGAUACCACCUUUGGAUGCAAUCCAACGACGAAUAUUGUGGUGUAAGUAACAAGGCGGGUGUAAAAUGUUGCAAUUGGGUUUCUAGCGGUAGAUAAGACUCGUUUAGACCACACAGAAACGAGGAUGAACUCUAAGACUUAAUGUCUGAUGAAGGAGACAUGUCCAUAGUGCCUUUUUCGUUCCGUAACUACAUACUACAGUGUUUUUAUUAUAGCUACUAAUUCCCUUUUGCACCUCUCGUAGCGGAAAAAUCUAAUCGACUUUUAAACACGUACUUGAAUUAAGAGAGUGACUCCCUGAAGAAAAACCACUUUUUUCUCAAUUUCCCUGGUUGACUCAAAUGACUUUGCGAAUUGGCGUAUUGGUAUUAUUCGGAACGCUAGUGGUAGUUCUGUGCACCUUAGCGGCUCCAACUUGUGUACCAAAUAGAAGUUGGUGAUAACCUCGUUUAAUACCGUUGGUCAGUCGUAUGUACCAGUCUUUUCUGAGAUGCAAUAAAAGGAGGGGAAUAAGCACUGAAAAAUUGCCAAUCCCGCCUAUUCUCCCCUGUUCGAUAGGUUCGUACCGUCGUCCGUCUUUGAUGACAAUAGUUAGUUACGUUGGUCGAUGACAGUGGUAGGCGACUCGGCUUGAUACAGUACUGAAUAAACUCGGUAUCAAAGGGAGUCGUAGCAGCUAUAGAUACGCGACCACGAACCUACGAUUACUUACCUGUAGGACUCUAGUUGUCGCGUUUAGAACGAGCACAGAACUCUCUCAAAAGUGGACUUCUUCAAUGCCGUUUAUAAAUAUGUUACCAACUACAAGAAGACGUAGUAUAGGUCGAACUCGAAGUUGCCCCCGUAGAUCACGUCCUAAAUGAAAGGUUUCGUUAGUGCUUAGAACGUAAGAAACAGACCUGUGUACUCAAUCAAGGUGACCUGUAACACGACGAUCGAGAAUAACUGUCCCUACUACUAGGAAUACGAAAUGCAGAACACUAUUCAGACGAACUUUCUGGACUUGAAGUCGUGUCUUAAUUUCGUAAGACGUCAAGAGCAAGAGGACUCGUAACCGAUUUUUUAGUUGGAGGUUUUUCUCGACUCGAGGUCUUUCGAGAACCAUUGGUAGAAAGUACCUUCCUGGCGAUAGGAGGGAAAAAACUACUGUAACGACGGGCGAACGAAGGUCAGUAGGGUGACUAUUAAAUAUCCGAAUAACUCUUACUACGAUGUCUAUAGCGUCUGUCCCAAGAGCGUAAAAUAAGAUGGAAAGAGCGAAAGGUGGGUGACUCUAAAUGUAAACACGCCCUAUAAGAACGUAUGAAGAUACCAGUAGAAGGUUCGUUCAAUUAACAGGCCUAGGAGUUGCACGACCCACAAUCGUGGUUCUGAGGAAAGAGUCUUAGGAAACGAGUUAUAAAUCCCAGAAGUUUAAGAAGAUAAACGGGUGGUGGUCUUAUAAAACGGUUGGAAAACGAUCCGGAACAAUUAUUACAGUAUGGAGGAAACUCAUCGUUCAGGUUUAGUUUGGGUCGUCUACGAAGACCGUCUGCGUGUUUAAAGUCGUUCGGAGUACGUAGAUGCGUUCGACCACCUUUAUCAUUGCGACUACGAGUCUCCCGUAAAAUAGUUUUAGUCCUAGGACCCAGUAUGUGUGUCGAACAAAACCUUUGUCGUCGAUAACUCUAAGAGAGUGAAAGACACGGUCGAAGAGUUUAUCACAGGAGAGAUCAAGUUAAUUAUCGAGUACAUGUUCGUUACGAAUAUGUCAGUUUAUGACCAGUUCCUUACAGACCACCAAACCCGGUUUUGAGACCCGACGGUUGAAGAGGAAGUCCACGGCCACGACUCAGCCGUCCACGGUCGGCUCCUUUGUGAAGUCGUUCACCUUAGUCGCGCUUGAAACAAAGAUCUUCACCGAUGAGAACAGUCGUCAACAGACAAAACUACUAAGUUCGUACACCGAAGAACGACCGUGUUGAGGGUGGUCUUAAAGUGUACGUUGAAAUGAGUCUUCGUCGAGCUUAGUAUUUUCUAACAGCAACCGAAAGACUGUCAAGCUCUGGACACUUUCUCGAAUUGAGUCGACAACCAAUGCGUGAAGACCUGGGUUGUACCCGAAGAGUUCUGUCAUGUAGCUGUCGGUAUCCAUUGUAACACCGGGAAGAUGUGAGUAAAAAAUCGUUAGAAGGAGUUCUCACCGACCUUAGAAGUGUAUGACAGUAGUUUGUAGAGGCCGGUCACUGAAGUCAACGGUACAACUCUUAACGGAAGGCGUAUAACCCGGGGAAUAACGGAGCAGAUCGGAAACGAGCUGGAGAUAAGUACUUCUGUGACCGAAACGACAAGUUACACAACCCCCUACACAAACCCUUCUUGAGAGUCCGGAGUGGAGUACACGGCCGUAGUCUUUAACCUCUGUAGUAGCUGAAGCACGUAGUACGGCAGUACAUACUUCCAGUUCCGCCGGGCCAAGUCUCAUGGUCGUUUGGAUUUCACCUCUAUGACUGUAACACGCCCUUUAACGACCUGGACGAAGCCGGGCUGCACGUCGUAGAGGACAGGGUGGAGUUCUGGCUAGGUUGGAGCAGCUAAAUGCGCCGCUGGGUAGGUUUCGAUCGCGUUGUUGUGGGUAGGAUUCGGUGUCGUGUUGUACCUACUACAUCUUAUCACAUGUGGACCUGACGACGCCGAACCGACUAAAGCGACAUGUCCGGACUCGCGGUUCGCCGAAAUUGGUCAAUUGAGCGACGGUCUGGCCUUGGACCUCAAACAGAGUUGCCAAUCCCCGUCUAACAGGCGACCUAGACACAACAUUGGGUAUAUAUACAUCGUCACCACAUCUAGCGCUGCAAAUAGUAGAUUUUCAAUCGAACAGACAGUUUCGUAUAAAUGACAGUUGAGGUACGUUCGCGAACACGUAAAGCAAGCAGCGAAGUACCGACGUUGAGUAACCGACCUCAACCGCCAUGGUUCAUGACGGGGAAAAGGAGACUACGACGUCACGUCCUGUGCCGAGCAAACCAGCUGCCAGUGGCAGUCCCCAAUGGGCAGCACUGUGGCUAGACUCGGCUCGUUCUUUCUCACGUAGCGUACGAACGUCCCAAACAGUGCCUCGUCCGCGGUUCCUGCCUGCCUGGGAACAGCGGCCACCGGUAGUCUGCGAGCGACCACAUGGGGCACAGGACUUGGCGCCUGCAGCGCAGUGUCACCGCACGACGCACGCUCCGUCGAAGAGACGCCAACCCCACCGGGCCUUUUAAAGCAAUAAAAGGUGCAAUUGUAUCGGGCGUGAGGACACGUUUGAUGUCAGUGGCUAACAUGACGACUGGCGCCCGUUCAGGUGGUCACAGUCGAUACGGAGCACUUGUAGUCACCAAUGAAGAGAUGUCAAAAGUAAAAAGUUGUC